Non-coding RNA from Chrysemys picta bellii (western painted turtle), 835 nucleotides. The record is from RefSeq and is a predicted model, not a curated record. Lineage: Eukaryota; Metazoa; Chordata; Testudines; Emydidae.
GAGGUGGGGACCUUCCCUUUGAAGGAGCCAGGAGCUGUGGCUGAGAUGCACCUUAUGCUUGGCUGGUAUAUCACUCAGACCAUAUCUGCAUUCUCUGGUUGAUUUCUCAAAUAAGCACGGCCUCUGCAGUGGCCCAGCCUUGCAUGGGAAAUACCCUUUGUGCCUUGAAAUGGGGAAGACUAGAAACGUUGUUUGACAGAGAAGCCACAUAACAGAAGUUGUAUGAAGUUUGAAUAUUCGAUAACGAAGUCAGCAUGGAUGCAGUCACUGAGUUCCCAAAGGGGAGGGACAGACCAUCUAUAUAAGUAGUUAAAACGUGCAAGAGGCUGCGUUGGAGAUUGGGAAACAUGUGACUCAUUAUUGGCGCUGAAUCAGAUCCAUCCCUGAUGCGGCCCGGCUGGAGCUCCAUGGGGAUUACACCAGGAAUUCAUCUGAUCUGAUGUAUCCAGCGUGUGGAAAUGGACAAAAGUGCGGGAUUAACAGUUUAGCAUGGCUCCCAUUCCAGUGAAUGCACUUGCUGGGUGUGUACCCGGAGACUCCAUCUGGGGCCCUUGGGAUCCGCAGUGAGCAUUACUACCAGGUUGUCGGGGGCACGUGACUACGCCACACGUCUCCUCUGGGCUGAGGAGCAGGAGCACCAGGGCAGUGGCCCUGCAUGAAGAUGAAGAAUCUCUUAGUAUUUGCUGUGCUAUUUGCUUAUGGCGCAGUUAUGACACAGGGGAGUCUCUGGGAGCUUCAAAAGAUGAUUAAGCAAGUCACUGGGAAAUCUGCCUUAUGGAAUUAUUCCAACUACGGCUGCCACUGCGGAUCGGGUGGCAAAGGGACGCCAACGGAU